This 579-nucleotide ribosomal RNA is filed under the name uncultured bacterium. Its description in RNAcentral is "bacterial SSU rRNA". It matches the Rfam family "Bacterial small subunit ribosomal RNA", at positions 115 to 710 of the family's 1533-position model. The record is from RNAcentral.
GCGUGAGUAACCUGCCCUGGAGUGGGGGAUAACAGUUGGAAACGACUGCUAAUACCGCAUAAGCCCACGAUCCGGCAUCGGAUUGAGGGAAAAGGAUUUAUUCGCUUCAGGAUGGACUCGCGCCCAAUUAGCUAGUUGGUGAGGUAACGGCCCACCAAGGCGACGAUUGGUAGCCGGACUGAGAGGUUGAACGGCCACAUUGGGACUGAGACACGGCCCAGACUCCUACGGGAGGCAGCAGUGGGGGAUAUUGCACAAUGGGGGAAACCCUGAUGCAGCGACGCCGCGUGGAGGAAGAAGGUUUUCGGAUUGUAAACUCCUGUCGUUAGGGACGAUAAUGACGGUACCUAACAAGAAAGCACCGGCUAACUACGUGCCAGCAGCCGCGGUAAAACGUAGGGUGCAAGCGUUGUCCGGAAUUACUGGGUGUAAAGGGAGCGCAGGCGGACCGGCAAGUUGGAAGUGAAAACUAUGGGCUCAACCCAUAAAUUGCUUUCAAAACUGCUGGCCUUGAGUAGUGCAGAGGUAGGUGGAAUUCCCGGUGUAGCGGUGGAAUGCGUAGAUAUCGGGAGGAACACC